GACGAACGCUGGCGGCGUGCCUAAUACAUGCAAGUAGAACGCUGAAGGAGGAUCUUGCUUCUCUGGAUGAGUUGCGAACGGGUGAGUAACGCGUAGGUAACCUGCCUGGUAGCGGGGGAUAACUAUUGGAAACGAUAGCUAAUACCGCAUAAUAUUGACUAUUGCAUGAUAGUCAGUUGAAAGGUGCAACAGCACCACUACCAGAUGGACCUGCGUUGUAUUAGCUAGUUGGUGGGGUAACGGCUCACCAAGGCGACGAUACAUAGCCGACCUGAGAGGGUGAUCGGCCACACUGGGACUGAGACACGGCCCAGACUCCUACGGGAGGCAGCAGUAGGGAAUCUUCGGCAAUGGACGGAAGUCUGACCGAGCAACGCCGCGUGAGUGAAGAAGGUUUUCGGAUCGUAAAGCUCUGUUGUAAGAGAAGAACGAGUGUGAGAGUGGAAAGCUCACACUGUGACGGUAUCUUACAAGAAAGGGACGGCUAACUACGUG
RNAcentral lists this ribosomal RNA (495 nucleotides) under uncultured bacterium. RNAcentral's name for it is "partial 16S ribosomal RNA". It matches the Rfam family "Bacterial small subunit ribosomal RNA", at positions 28 to 507 of the family's 1533-position model. The record is from RNAcentral.